AACGCGAAGAACCUUACCCAGGCUCGAAAUGCAGAGGGCGAUACUAGAGAUAGUAUUUUCCGUAAGGACUUCUGUAUAGGUGCUGCAUGGCUGUCGUCAGCUCGUGCCGUGAGGUGUUGGGUUAAGUCCCGCAACGAGCGCAACCCUUACUCGUAGUUGCUACCCGCAAGGGAGAACUCUACGAGGACUGCUCCGGAUAACGGAGAGGAAGGUGGGGAUGACGUCAAGUCAGCACGGCCUUUAUGUCCAGGGCUACACACGUGUUACAAUGCACGGUACAGACUGUUGCGAACCCGCGAGGGGGAGCUAAUCGGAUAAAACCGUGCUCAGUUCGGAUUGCAGUCUGCAACUCGGCUGCAUGAAGCUGGAAUCGCUAGUAAUGGCGUAUCAGAUCGACGCCGUGAAUACGUUCCCGGGCCUUGUACACACCGCAUAC
RNAcentral lists this ribosomal RNA (436 nucleotides) under uncultured bacterium. Its description in RNAcentral is "bacterial SSU rRNA". It matches the Rfam family "Bacterial small subunit ribosomal RNA", at positions 958 to 1397 of the family's 1533-position model. The record is from RNAcentral.